Molecule: long non-coding RNA, 1624 nt
Organism: Salvia splendens (bonfire salvia)
Lineage: Eukaryota; Viridiplantae; Streptophyta; Magnoliopsida; Lamiales; Lamiaceae
Exons: 3
Source: RefSeq, a predicted model, not a curated record
CACUUACCCAAUCCACACAACGCAAUAGAAAAUCCCUGCGUCUUAGAUCUCAAUUUGUGAAAUCCCUCAAAUUUUAAUUUGUGUUUCUAUUGAUUUAUGCGAUUCAGAUAAGAAACCCCUAGCAACCCGGGCUCCUCUGAAAUUUCUCAUAUGAAGAAAGAAGUCCCAUAGCUCCUGCCAUAACGACGCCGUUUAGUGUUGCAGAUUUGCCGCUGUACCUUCUCACGGCCUAUUUGUGUCAAAACAACGUCAACAUUCAUUAUCUGCGCUCAUAAUUUCUGUCUUUGUUUUUUUUGUGGCUAUGAUUAAAAGAUUAUCCGCGCUUCUGAGAUUUCCAAUCGAUGAAGUAGAUCGAUAAUAAUGGUUGAAUUUCUUAAUAUGAGCCAAUUUAUUAAUUUUCAUUUAUUUAUAUGCUGUGGUUGUGAUGAUUAAUAAUCAGCUUAACGCCAGUUCUGCUUCAGAAAAUUCUUGAUCGAUACAGCUGUAUAAUUAUCUGAACCUUUUUUUGAUUCUCCAAUUUAUUUAUUUUCACAAAACUGGUUUUUAUUCGAUUUUUUGAUGCAAUGAUGAAAUUUCCAAUUUUUAGGUGUAGUGAUGUUGAGACCCUGUAUACAGGGAGAACCCCUUGAUGUUGCUACAUCUUUUCAUGAAAAUUUGGAAAUAUCUGAGAUUUAACUAAAUUUCCCCAAUUUAUUUUGAUUUAUAAAGAUGAGAAAAGAAUCCUUGUUUUUUUGAAGAAAUUGAUGCCUGUGAUGGUUGUUGGAUAGUAUAUGAAGUGUAGUGAAUCCGAGUACUGCUUAUGCAGUUGAACCUCUCGGUGGAUCUAUGUUGCUAUUGAUUAUAAUUAACAUACUGAGGCAUCUAUGCUUUGCUAAUGUAAAAUUCUAUAAUUGAAAAGAUUGGUUUUAAUUUGUUUAGAUACUUGAGUUUUACUAUACCCCUUCCUUCUUAUGGGUUGAGGGUCUGAAAAACUCAUACAUCAAAGGUGUUGUCAUCAGCUUCUCUCGAAUUCGCAACGGAGACUGGAGUUAAAUAACAGCACUAGACUAUUCUAUAAUCUUAUCAUUUUCUUUUAUGAAGGAUAUUAGAUUAGUUUUGUCUCUUUUGUUGUUGGAUAAUGUUUUUUUUCACAAAAUUAGACCGGGAGAGGUAAUGUAGCUGUUCGACUUUGAUUGAAACGUAGUAGUAUGUUUGUUUGAUGAUUUGUUUCUUGUUGUGAUUGGAUAUUGAAUUUGUAUUUUGGAACUAGUAGUGAUUGUAUUGGAUUCUCAGCCGCUCGCCAGUGAACGGAAGCUGAACUCGUGAGGCUCGCCCCACCUUGUGCCACAGUUGAAAGCCUAUGGAUUUGCUUGGACCCGAAGAUUGCUUUUGUUUCCAGAAGAAUUCAAGGUGUGCAAAUCACAUAUAGCCUCUCCAAUGGAGCCUCCCAACAUGUUAUCAUCGAGCGAUAAUCCUUGAAGCUUGAUCAGAUGUUUGAUAGUAGGAAUGUUGCCACUGAAUUUGCAGCUGCCAGCAUAGAAUCCUUGGAGCGAGGACGAUAAAUUCCCUACAGCAGCUGGAAUGACGCCGUACAGAGGAUUAUCAGUAAUCAACAAACGAGUAAGAAGCAUGCAAUAUGCCAACG